AUGGGUCCUUUCAAGAUCAUUGGCAAAAGAGGCGAUCUCGCCUAUCAACUUGAGCUUCCAUCCAACUUUGCAAAUGUGCAUGACGUGUUUCACGUGUCACAGCUUCGCAAGUGUUUCAAGACUCCUGACCGCACCAUCAACUUCGAAGAGAUUGAUCUCCAAGAAGACCUGUCUUAUCAUGAGCAUCCCGUUGCUAUUCUUGAAGAAACUGAGCGCAAGACUCGCAACAAGUCUAUCAAAUUCUUGAAAGUGAGGUGGUCACAUCAUUCCGACCGAGAAGCCACCUGGGAACGCGAGGACCACCUCCGUUCUGAAUAUCCGGAGUUCUUUCAGUCCUAG
This 339-nucleotide ribosomal RNA is filed under the name Triticum aestivum (bread wheat). RNAcentral describes it as "partial small subunit ribosomal RNA". The record is from RNAcentral. Lineage: Eukaryota; Viridiplantae; Streptophyta; Magnoliopsida; Poales; Poaceae.